Non-coding RNA from Paramuricea clavata, 623 nucleotides. The record is from the annotation of a GenBank genome assembly. NCBI's taxonomy places the organism in Eukaryota, Metazoa, Cnidaria, Anthozoa, Malacalcyonacea, Plexauridae.
GUUAUUGUAUACUAUAAUUAUAAUAACACUGGGUAUAAAAUAGAUUUGGAUCUUGUAUAUUUUUAUGGUUUCCACGAAUGUUUGUGUUUUAGACAAUAAGAUGCGCUGAUGAAUCGAGGCUGCAAGAUUACACUGUAUUGGAUAAAAAUGUUUGAUUAUUUGAUGUAAAAGUCUAGGAGUCAGGUCUUAAUAAGUUCUCUAGUUUAAAGUCUAGGCUAUACUCUGCUCUAGUGCUAAGUUCUUUUAUACGACGUCCAAAAAUAAUGCAAUAUGAUCGACUACAAACUGUAUAUUAAACUAUAACAUGAUAUUAAAGUGAAAUUUCGUUCGUUUUAUUUAUUGUUGUUUAGUUCAUGUUUGAUAAUGAUAAUAAAAAAGCUACCGACAACUUAUUCAGAUGAAACAACGUUAAAAACCGGGUGAAAUGAAGUUAAUUUCACAAUUUUUAAUAUUUGUUUUUAUUACAGCGUUGUUGCUAUGCAGGUUGCUAAGACAUAGAGCGAUGUUAAGUUAAGAUUGACUACCGCUGACCGUGUAGUGCAGGAAAUUGCUUACCAGGCCCCGCAUCACACGUCGAUCAGCGAAAUCACUGGCGUUGCGCCGCCCUAUAUAUAAGCGCCCUG